ACCUGGGUUUGACAUGUUUGGAUGCCUACCGGGAACCGAUUAGGCUGCCUUCGGGUGACACCUACACAGGUGCUGCAUGGCUGUCGUCAGUUCGUGUCGUGAGAUGUCGGGUUAAGUCCUUUAACGAGCGAAACCCUUGCCGUUAGUUGCCAGCGGGUAAUGCCGGGGACUCUAGCGGGACUGCCGGUGUCAAACCGGAGGAAGGCGGGGAUGACGUCAAGUCCUCAUGGCCUUUAUGCCCAGGGCUUCACACGUGCUACAAUGGUUACUACAAAGCGACGCAAGACCGCGAGGUGGAGCAAAUCGCAAAAAAGUAGCCUCAGUUCGGAUUGCAGGCUGACAACUCGCCUGCAUGAAGUUGGAAUCGCUAGUAAUCGCGUAUCAGCUACGACGCGGUGAAUGUGUUCCUGAGCCUUGUACACACCGCCCGUCAAGUGAUGGUAAGUACGGAGAUGCACCACUGAAGUCAGAUUGCAUAACUGUCUCGCAGAAGCAGUCUGCCUACGGUGAACGUUCGAUGACUGGCACUAAGUCGUAACAAGGUAACCAA
RNAcentral lists this ribosomal RNA (550 nucleotides) under uncultured Planctomycetota bacterium. Its description in RNAcentral is "bacterial SSU rRNA". It matches the Rfam family "Bacterial small subunit ribosomal RNA", at positions 973 to 1503 of the family's 1533-position model. Lineage: Bacteria; Pseudomonadati; Planctomycetota. The record is from RNAcentral.